AUUGAACGCUGGCGGCAUGCCUUACACAUGCAAGUCGAACGGUAACGCGGGGCAACCUGGCGACGAGUGGCGAACGGGUGAGUAAAGCAUCGGAACGUGCCCAGUAGUGGGGGAUAGCCCGGCGAAAGCCGGAUUAAUACCGCAUACGACCUAUGGGUGAAAGGUGGGGAUCGCAAGACCUCUCGCUAUUGGAGCGGCCGAUGUCAGAUUAGGUAGUUGGUGGGGUAAAGGCCUACCAAGCCGACGAUCUGUAGCUGGUCUGAGAGGACGACCAGCCACACUGGGACUGAGACACGGCCCAGACUCCUACGGGAGGCAGCAGUGGGGAAUUUUGGACAAUGGGCGCAAGCCUGAUCCAGCCAUGCCGCGUGCGGGAAGAAGGCCUUCGGGUUGUAAACCGCUUUUGUCAGGGAAGAAAUCCUUUGGGUUAAUACCUCGGGGGGAUGACGGUACCUGAAGAAUAAGCACCGGCUAACUACGUGCCAGCCGCCGCUGUAA
This 498-nucleotide ribosomal RNA is filed under the name uncultured bacterium. RNAcentral describes it as "partial 16S ribosomal RNA". It matches the Rfam family "Bacterial small subunit ribosomal RNA", at positions 29 to 523 of the family's 1533-position model. The record is from RNAcentral.